CAGUCGCCGCGGUAAUACGAAGGGUGCAAGCGCUAAUCGGAAUUACUGGGCGUAAAGCGUGCGUAGGCGGUGAGUUAAGUCUGCUGUGAAAUCCCCGGGCUCAACCUGGGAAUGGCAAUGGAUACUGGCAAGCUAGAGUGUGUCAGAGGAUGGUGGAAUUCCCGGUGUAGCGGUGAAAUGCGUAGAGAUCGGGAGGAACAUCAGUGGCGAAGGCGGCCAUCUGGGACAACACUGACGCUGAGGCACGAAAGCGUGGGGAGCAAACAGGAUUAGAUACCCGUGUAGUCCCUGUCUCUUAUAA
Molecule: ribosomal RNA, 301 nt
Filed under: uncultured bacterium
Lineage: Bacteria
Description: partial 16S ribosomal RNA
Rfam family: Bacterial small subunit ribosomal RNA
Source: RNAcentral